Syngnathoides biaculeatus (alligator pipefish) is the source of this 461-nucleotide long non-coding RNA. RefSeq lists it as uncharacterized. NCBI's taxonomy places the organism in Eukaryota, Metazoa, Chordata, Actinopteri, Syngnathiformes, Syngnathidae. The record is from RefSeq and is a predicted model, not a curated record. The transcript has 3 exons.
CCAGGCUAAUGAAGAACACCCCUGUUGCCUCCCUCUUUUUGCUCUGCAGUAAUGCUGGAUUGUCCCCUUGAACACCCAACCUGCCAAGCGUCUGUCUUGCCACUGACAGGAGGGAGGCACCAGGCCGUCUGGAAAGGGACAGUGCAGUCCUAUGACAACAGGGGGUGGAACUAUGGGACUAAACAUGUGGUGGCAGAGGACUAAGUCUGAGGGAAAACAACAAGGGACCUGUGAAGAAAACACCAUUUUCACACACUACAUUGCUUGUCAUUGUCCGAUUUGAUCUAGUUGCCCCCUGGGUGGCACCUUCACAGUACUUGACGUUUACAGCAUUUCCAGAGGAAACGCCACCAUGGAAACAUCAACCAGUCAUCAUGCCUAAGGCGUACAGUAUAAUGCAGCUUGGAGAGAGGGUCAUGUACUAUUUCUCACAGUUUUAAUACUGCAACUAUUCAGUUAUU